RNAcentral lists this ribosomal RNA (539 nucleotides) under uncultured bacterium. Its description in RNAcentral is "bacterial SSU rRNA". It matches the Rfam family "Bacterial small subunit ribosomal RNA", at positions 355 to 895 of the family's 1533-position model. The record is from RNAcentral.
UGAGGAAUAUUGGCCAAUGGACGGAAGUCUGAACCAGCCAAGUAGCGUGCAGGAUGACGGCCCUAUGGGUUGUAAACUGCUUUUGUAUGGGGAUAAAGUUAGGGACGUGUCCCUAUUUGCAGGUACCAUACGAAUAAGGACCGGCUAAUUCCGUGCCAGCAGCCGCGGUAAUACGGAAGGUCCAGGCGUUAUCCGGAUUUAUUGGGUUUAAAGGGAGCGUAGGCUGGAGAUUAAGUGUGUUGUGAAAUGUAGACGCUCAACGUCUGAAUUGCAGCGCAUACUGGUUUCCUUGAGUACGCACAACGUUGGCGGAAUUCGUCGUGUAGCGGUGAAAUGCUUAGAUAUGACGAAGAACUCCGAUUGCGAAGGCAGCUGACGGGAGCGCAACUGACGCUUAAGCUCGAAGGUGCGGGUAUCAAACAGGAUUAGAUACCCUGGUAGUCCGCACAGUAAACGAUGGAUGCCCGCUGUUGGUACCUGGUAUCAGCGGCUAAGCGAAAGCAUUAAGCAUCCCACCUGGGGAGUACGCCGGCNACGGU